UUUUGUACGAACAAAAAAAAAAAAUAUUUAAUUUAAUUUGAUCUAUCUGCUGUUUGAGUUCACCUCGCAAGUGUGUCUGUCUAGUGAGAACCGAGAACAUAACACAGUCUUCAUCCUUAUAAGGUGUCACCGUGAAUUAGAACUCAGAAGCAUCAGCCAUGGCAUAUGCAGCGUUUCUCCGUUAAACGUUUAUUACUAACAAGUAACGACUGAGCAAGGUUAACGGUCACGCCCUUGGUUUUAGGAUUUCGCCUCCUUCGCAAAUAACCUAACCGUGUUGCAACUCUUCGCUUCUUUCCGAUCUCUUCUAUAUCUAGGGUUUCUUCAGCUUCAUGGCUUCCCCUGAUGAUGAUUUCGAUUUCGGUGGUGAAAUUGGUGGAAGGCAUUCAGGUAAUAAGAGACCAUCUCCGGAUUACGAUGAUGAAGAUUAUGAAAACGAUCCUUUUGCACCGAAGAAGGCCAAAUCUAAAGCUGAAGAAACUGCCUCUGGCGUAACAACAGGAAUGAUCUUGUCACUUCGUGAAAGCCUCCAGAGCUGUAAGGAUCAGCUUGCAACAUGCCAAAAUGAGCUCGAGGCUGCAAAGUCUGAGAUUCAGAGUUGGCAUUCUUCAAUUCAAAAUGAGCCUGUUGUAAAUGCUGGGGCUGCUCCAGAGCCAAAAAUGUUGAUUAAUUACCUUCAGGCUCUGAAAUCAUCUGAAGAGUCAUUGAGAGAGCAGCUUGAAAAAGCGAAGAAAAAAGAUUCGGCAUUCAUUAAAACAUUUGCUAAACGGGAACAAGAGAUAGCGGAGUUGAAAUCUGCUGUACGGGAUCUGAAAGUUCAACUCAAGCCACCAUCAAUGCAGGCAAGGAGGUUGUUACUAGAUCCGGCUGUUCAUGAAGAGUUCACACGUUUGAAGAAUUUAGUGGAGGAAAAGGACAAAAAAUUAAAGGAGUUGCAAGAUAACAUUUCUGCUAUAACUUUUACUUCCCAAAGCAAGAUGGGAAAGAUGCUGAUGGCUAAGUGCAGAACCCUGCAAGAAGAAAAUGAGGAGAUUGGAAAUCAAGCUUCUGAGGGAAAGAUACAUGAAUUCACGAUGAAACUUGCAUUACAGAAGUCCCAGAAUGCACAACUCAGAAGUCAAUUCGAAGGAUUGCAGAAGCAUAUGGAAGGACUGACAAAUGAUGUGGAGAGAUCAAAUGAAACGGUUCUUAUGUUGCAAGAGAAGCUAGACGAGAAAGAUCAGGAGAUCCAAAGACUGAAACAUGAACUCCAAGAAAACAACUUAACAGAGGAUGGAAGGUCUGAUGCAACAUUUAAUAGGAGUGACGACGAUAAAUUGACGACUGAGGAGGAUAAGUUGACCACUGAGGAGGCUGCGAAUUAAUUUUGGUUAAUUUUUUUUGUAGGAAACAUUUUUUAUUAAGUUUCUACUAGUUGCUGUACAUUAUAUUAAUCAUGAUUUUUUUUUUGAAAAGGGUUAUAUUGGUCUUUGAUUGAUUCGAUUUGAUAGAUCUAUUUUUUCUAGGCAAACAUGCAGUUGUGAAAUAAUUUUGAUCUUGCUUCAAAUGGAAUAUAAUCCUCGUUGCAGAUGGUGCUA
This is an RNA transcript of Trifolium pratense (red clover), 1577 nucleotides long. It is a transcript of the gene named FKBP12-interacting protein of 37 kDa-like, with no coding region annotated. The record is from RefSeq and is a predicted model, not a curated record. Lineage: Eukaryota; Viridiplantae; Streptophyta; Magnoliopsida; Fabales; Fabaceae. The transcript has 15 exons.